RNAcentral lists this transfer RNA (68 nucleotides) under Gilpinia sp. 1 GYN-2022c. RNAcentral's name for it is "tRNA-Arg". Lineage: Eukaryota; Metazoa; Arthropoda; Insecta; Hymenoptera; Diprionidae. RNAcentral also lists the same sequence under 1 other name. The record is from RNAcentral.
AAAGUUGAAAUAAUAUAUUUAUAUUCAGUUUCGACCUGAAAUUUUAGUUAUCAAAUAACUCAUCUUUA